CAGCAAGACAUUUGGAUGGUCCUGGGUGGAGUAUGUACCAGGCGAUUGAUUCUUCUGAGUUCAGGCAAAAUUGGAAAGAAUCAAAGAUACAUGAUUUAGCAAAAAAAUAUGGCUGAGAUUGUUCAUAAUCAUAUACUUAAAUGUUGAAAUCUAAGUAUAGGAUCAACUCUUGAUUUUAACCAAUCAAAACUCAAUAGAGUUUCUCACUGGGAUCCUCUCAAAACACCCCAACAACACGACAAAAUUCUCUCUCUUAAAUAUUGCUUUGACCCCACUUCGCCACGUGGUACUUCUCUUGGCGACCUGGUAAAAAGCUUCGUGGCAUCUCCCAGCGCCUACUUUACCCUUUGUCGUCAAUUAGGUGGAUAGAUUGCUUUGCUCUGCCUUUGCGUUCAUCCCUUUUAUUUCUUUUCAACUAGUAUAUGAUUCUUUAUAGUUUUAAACAUAUACUAUGAAGGUGGCCACAGGCAAAGGGUCAUUGAAGAAGGAAAGAAAGGAAGUAUUGAAGCCUUUUGAGGACAGUUUGAUUUAAUUACAGCCAGCUGCAACAUCACAAUUUAACACAAAAAUAAGCUGCUUGUGAUGAUGGUUGUACAAUGUAUUAGAUUGUCUUGGAACGCUAGGAAGGCAAAAGCUGCAUUGAAGGUUGUUAAGAGUAGCAACAAGGGCCAAGAAAGCUCAAUCAGCUAAGAAAGAUCCCAACAAAACAAAGAAGCCUCUGAGUGCAUUCUUUUUUUUUCCUGUAAGUCUAUCUCAAUAUCUUUAUGUUUUAUGUGGAUUACUGUUAUAAGAUCGAUACUAUCUAUCGUGUAAAAGCUGCAGAGAAGAGUUCAGAAACGUUUACUAACAUGAGCAUCCCAACAUAAAAGCUGUCUCAGCUGUCUGCAUAUGCUAAGCAUAUUAUGUCUUUUGUAGUGGAAAGUUUUACAUUGAUAAGACUAUUUAUCUUGAGUGAGAAAAUGAUCUUAUCACUAAA
Long non-coding RNA from Mangifera indica (mango), 976 nucleotides. RefSeq lists it as uncharacterized. The record is from RefSeq and is a predicted model, not a curated record. The transcript has 3 exons. NCBI's taxonomy places the organism in Eukaryota, Viridiplantae, Streptophyta, Magnoliopsida, Sapindales, Anacardiaceae.